CCCUGCCACUCUGCCCAGUGCCCAGAUAGCAUGGAGGCCCACUCGACAGAAGGAAUGUUCUCAGCCCAGGCCGGCACCAACGCAGGUGCUCCUGAGGCCCAGCCAACAACAACUUCACCCAGGGCUCAUGAACUGGGGCAGGAAGCACCUGGCCAGUGACCCCCAUCCAAAGGACUGAGUUCACAUCCAAGCUCCUCCACCCCAAGACCCACCAUCCCAAAUGCCACCUGCACAGAGGGUUGGCUCGAGGCCAGGCCCCAUAAAGUUCCACACUCUUCAGUCUGCUGGGGGCCUCCAAGCCUGCUUCACUGGCCUGUCACCUGCUGGACUAUGCAGCCUGUUUGUAUUCACACUUCACCGUCUAGGAAGGACUCCUGGACGUCAAUUUUCUGCAACACCUGGAACCAGACGGACAGAGAGAACUUGACUUGUUCAGGUCCUAGGUGACUGUGCAAUGUGAGUGGGUUACGAGGCCCAAAGGCUUACAGAGACAGCAGCUGAGAUCACAGGCCAAACCCCAAAGAAACUCUGUACUUGCCAUGUUUCAUAGGGAACAAACCGAAACCACCUCCUGCUAUCCCCCGCCUUUGCUGACACCUGUAAAGCUGCCAACCUGCCUCUGCACAUACCUGCAUCGUGUUCACGGUUGAACCUUUGGCUCCUGACUGCAC
This is a long non-coding RNA of Symphalangus syndactylus (siamang), 671 nucleotides long. RefSeq lists it as uncharacterized. The record is from RefSeq and is a predicted model, not a curated record. NCBI's taxonomy places the organism in Eukaryota, Metazoa, Chordata, Mammalia, Primates, Hylobatidae.